Molecule: ribosomal RNA, 1500 nt
Filed under: Salmonella enterica
Lineage: Bacteria; Pseudomonadati; Pseudomonadota; Gammaproteobacteria; Enterobacterales; Enterobacteriaceae
Description: partial 23S ribosomal RNA
Rfam family: Bacterial large subunit ribosomal RNA
Source: RNAcentral
GGGUGAAAAGCCCGCUCGCCGGAAGACCAAGGGUUCCUGUCCAACGUUAAUCGGGGCAGGGUGAGUCGACCCCUAAGGCGAGGCCGAAAGGCGUAGUCGAUGGGAAACGGGUUAAUAUUCCCGUACUUGGUGUUACUGCGAAGGGGGGACGGAGAAGGCUAUGUUGGCCGGGCGACGGUUGUCCCGGUUUAAGCGUGUAGGUGUGUGUUCCAGGUAAAUCCGGUUCACUUUAACACUGAGGCGUGACGACGAGGCACUACGGUGCUGAAGCAACAAAUGCCCUGCUUCCAGGAAAAGCCUCUAAGCAUCAGGUAACAUCAAAUCGUACCCCAAACCGACACAGGUGGUCAGGUAGAGAAUACCAAGGCGCUUGAGAGAACUCGGGUGAAGGAACUAGGCAAAAUGGUGCCGUAACUUCGGGAGAAGGCACGCUGACACGUAGGUGAAGUGAUUUACUCAUGGAGCUGAAGUCAGUCGAAGAUACCAGCUGGCUGCAACUGUUUAUUAAAAACACAGCACUGUGCAAACACGAAAGUGGACGUAUACGGUGUGACGCCUGCCCGGUGCCGGAAGGUUAAUUGAUGGGGUCAGCGCAAGCGAAGCUCCUGAUCGAAGCCCCGGUAAACGGCGGCCGUAACUAUAACGGUCCUAAGGUAGCGAAAUUCCUUGUCGGGUAAGUUCCGACCUGCACGAAUGGCGUAAUGAUGGCCAGGCUGUCUCCACCCGAGACUCAGUGAAAUUGAACUCGCUGUGAAGAUGCAGUGUACCCGCGGCAAGACGGAAAGACCCCGUGAACCUUUACUAUAGCUUGACACUGAACAUUGAGCCUUGAUGUGUAGGAUAGGUGGGAGGCUUUGAAGUGUGGACGCCAGUCUGCAUGGAGCCGACCUUGAAAUACCACCCUUUAAUGUUUGAUGUUCUAACGUGGACCCGUAAUCCGGGUUGCGGACAGUGUCUGGUGGGUAGUUUGACUGGGGCGGUCUCCUCCUAAAGAGUAACGGAGGAGCACGAAGGUUGGCUAAUCCUGGUCGGACAUCAGGAGGUUAGUGCAAUGGCAUAAGCCAGCUUGACUGCGAGCGUGACGGCGCGAGCAGGUGCGAAAGCAGGUCAUAGUGAUCCGGUGGUUCUGAAUGGAAGGGCCAUCGCUCAACGGAUAAAAGGUACUCCGGGGAUAACAGGCUGAUACCGCCCAAGAGUUCAUAUCGACGGCGGUGUUUGGCACCUCGAUGUCGGCUCAUCACAUCCUGGGGCUGAAGUAGGUCCCAAGGGUAUGGCUGUUCGCCAUUUAAAGUGGUACGCGAGCUGGGUUUAGAACGUCGUGAGACAGUUCGGUCCCUAUCUGCCGUGGGCGCUGGAGAACUGAGGGGGGCUGCUCCUAGUACGAGAGGACCGGAGUGGACGCAUCACUGGUGUUCGGGUUGUCAUGCCAAUGGCACUGCCCGGUAGCUAAAUGCGGAAGAGAUAAGUGCUGAAAGCAUCUAAGCACGAAACUUGCCCCGA